Molecule: small RNA, 548 nt
Filed under: Pongo abelii (Sumatran orangutan)
Lineage: Eukaryota; Metazoa; Chordata; Mammalia; Primates; Hominidae
Description: processed transcript
Source: RNAcentral
AGCACCAGCCGCGGGACCAAAUGCUGGAGCUGGGAGCGGCGACAGGAAUGGAGGUAACGGGCCGCUGCGGCCUGGGAGGCUUACCCGGAAUUAAGGGCGAGGCGAGGAGAUCCGAAGGAAAAGGAAAGCUUCACCUCAAGUUACCCAUUUGCCUCUUCAGGCUGGGUUGCCAGAGCCCUUGGCCUGGGAGGACUCUUAAGUAAAUUGUGCCACAGUUCAGCCAGUUGCUUGCUCAAGUCAAACACCUGAGAGUCAAGAAAUUUUUCUCACUAAGCUUCCUGCUCCACACCAUUUAGUGGAAACAAAGGAAUCAGAAAGCUAGAAGGUUAAAAAAGUGUGGUCUAGUGUGGGCCACCAAACCCACAAGUACCAUAAGUAACUACCACUUUUUUAGCUGGCAAUGAAUUUGUCACUGUAUCAGGCACUUCAUAUAUAUUAUGUCAUUUUAUCUUCACAAAACUCUCUGAGUGUUCUCUCUCCAUUUUAUAUUUGAGUUAAUGAUUUUGGGCUGGGUGCAGUGGCUCACACCUGUAAUCCCAGCACUGUGG